AAACCCCACGAAAUAAAGUCCCACGUUCGGACUGCAGCCUGCAACCCGGCCUGCACGAAGCCGGAAUCGCUAGUAAUCGCAGAUCAGCAUGCUGCGGUGAAUACGUUCCCGGGUCUUGUACACACCGCCCGUCACACCAUGGGAGCCGGGAAUGCCCGAAGUCAGCGGCCCAACCGAAAGGGGGAGCUGCCGAAGGCAGGCCUGGUGACUGGGGUGAAGUCGUAACAAGGUACC
This 234-nucleotide ribosomal RNA is filed under the name uncultured bacterium. Its description in RNAcentral is "partial 16S ribosomal RNA". It matches the Rfam family "Bacterial small subunit ribosomal RNA", at positions 1269 to 1500 of the family's 1533-position model. The record is from RNAcentral.